This is a non-coding RNA of Erythranthe guttata (spotted monkey flower), 110 nucleotides long. The record is from RefSeq and is a predicted model, not a curated record. Lineage: Eukaryota; Viridiplantae; Streptophyta; Magnoliopsida; Lamiales; Phrymaceae.
CACAACAAAUUUCACUGGAAAACACUCACUGGAAAAAAAAAAUCACGCAGUACAUCAAAACCACACUGACAAAAAACACGCACUACACACCGUAAACAUUCACUUAGAAA